Molecule: ribosomal RNA, 843 nt
Filed under: Bacillus tequilensis
Lineage: Bacteria; Bacillati; Bacillota; Bacilli; Caryophanales; Bacillaceae
Description: bacterial SSU rRNA
Rfam family: Bacterial small subunit ribosomal RNA
Source: RNAcentral
UGAUGUUAGCGGCGGACGGGUGAGUAACACGUGGGUAACCUGCCUGUAAGACUGGGAUAACUCCGGGAAACCGGGGCUAAUACCGGAUGGUUGUUUGAACCGCAUGGUUCAAACAUAAAAGGUGGCUUCGGCUACCACUUACAGAUGGACCCGCGGCGCAUUAGCUAGUUGGUGAGGUAACGGCUCACCAAGGCAACGAUGCGUAGCCGACCUGAGAGGGUGAUCGGCCACACUGGGACUGAGACACGGCCCAGACUCCUACGGGAGGCAGCAGUAGGGAAUCUUCCGCAAUGGACGAAAGUCUGACGGAGCAACGCCGCGUGAGUGAUGAAGGUUUUCGGAUCGUAAAGCUCUGUUGUUAGGGAAGAACAAGUACCGUUCGAAUAGGGCGGUACCUUGACGGUACCUAACCAGAAAGCCACGGCUAACUACGUGCCAGCAGCCGCGGUAAUACGUAGGUGGCAAGCGUUGUCCGGAAUUAUUGGGCGUAAAGGGCUCGCAGGCGGUUUCUUAAGUCUGAUGUGAAAGCCCCCGGCUCAACCGGGGAGGGUCAUUGGAAACUGGGGAACUUGAGUGCAGAAGAGGAGAGUGGAAUUCCACGUGUAGCGGUGAAAUGCGUAGAGAUGUGGAGGAACACCAGUGGCGAAGGCGACUCUCUGGUCUGUAACUGACGCUGAGGAGCGAAAGCGUGGGGAGCGAACAGGAUUAGAUACCCUGGUAGUCCACGCCGUAAACGAUGAGUGCUAAGUGUUAGGGGGUUUCCGCCCCUUAGUGCUGCAGCUAACGCAUUAAGCACUCCGCCUGGGGAGUACGGUCGCAAGACUGAAACUCAAAGGAAUUGAC